UGAGUAACACGUGAGCAACCUGCCCUGGACUCUGGGAUAAGCGCUGGAAACGGCGUCUAAUACUGGAUAUGAGCUCUCAUCGCAUGGUGGGGGUUGGAAAGAUUUUUCGGUCUGGGAUGGGCUCGCGGCCUAUCAGCUUGUUGGUGAGGUAAUGGCUCACCAAGGCGUCGACGGGUAGCCGGCCUGAGAGGGUGACCGGCCACACUGGGACUGAGACACGGCCCAGACUCCUACGGGAGGCAGCAGUGGGGAAUAUUGCACAAUGGGCGGAAGCCUGAUGCAGCAACGCCGCGUGAGGGAUGACGGCCUUCGGGUUGUAAACCUCUUUUAGCAGGGAAGAAGCGAGAGUGACGGUACCUGCAGAAAAAGCGCCGGCUAACUACGUGCCAGCAGCCGCGGUAAUACGUAGGGCGCAAGCGUUAUCCGGAAUUAUUGGGCGUAAAGAGCUCGUAGGCGGUUUGUCGCGUCUGCUGUGAAAUCCCGAGGCUCAACCUCGGGCCUGCAGUGGGUACGGGCAGACUAGAGUGCGGUAGGGGAGAUUGGAAUUCCUGGUGUAGCGGUGGAAUGCGCAGAUAUCAGGAGGAACACCGAUGGCGAAGGCAGAUCUCUGGGCC
Molecule: ribosomal RNA, 614 nt
Filed under: Microbacterium proteolyticum
Lineage: Bacteria; Bacillati; Actinomycetota; Actinomycetes; Micrococcales; Microbacteriaceae
Description: bacterial SSU rRNA
Rfam family: Bacterial small subunit ribosomal RNA
Source: RNAcentral